UACAGAGGGUGCAAGCGUUGUUCGGAAUUAUUGGGCGUAAAGGGCGCGUAGGCGGUGCGGUAAGUCUGCGGUGAAAUCUCCCGGCUCAACUGGGAGUCUGCCGUGGAAACUGCCGUGCUUGAGUGUGGGAGAGGUGAGUGGAAUUCCCGGUGUAGCGGUGAAAUGCGUAGAUAUUAGGAAGAACACCAGUGGCGAAGGCGACUCACUGGUCCGGUACUGACGCUGAGGUGCGAAAGCGUGGGGAGCAAACAGG
Molecule: ribosomal RNA, 253 nt
Filed under: uncultured bacterium
Lineage: Bacteria
Description: partial 16S ribosomal RNA
Rfam family: Bacterial small subunit ribosomal RNA
Source: RNAcentral